Molecule: non-coding RNA, 543 nt
Organism: Danio rerio (zebrafish)
Lineage: Eukaryota; Metazoa; Chordata; Actinopteri; Cypriniformes; Danionidae
Source: RefSeq, a predicted model, not a curated record
UGUGCAAAAGGCGAAUAAAGAAAGUGAAAGCAUGUUGUUGCGGAUGGUGCCCGGAGGACUUUUAUUAUGAAAGUAUAGAUCGCCGCUGGCCGGAAAAAAAAGUGCUUUCACUCUAGCGAUCGCUAGAUCAUCGCAGCCAUUGCUCACGUGCAGUCCUCCAUCUGUUAAGAGCCACAGACGGACACUGCAGCUCCCUUUCGUGACAGAAGAUUGUUUAUGGUGUUGUGUGCGUCCUAUAAGAAGAAACCACACCCCCUAUAAACCCUACAAACAUCCCUAAGUGCUCAGAUCAAGGAUCUAGUGUUUCAGUUCAUACAAGCAAGCGCACGCCAAGUCAUCUUCUCAUUGGCCUAAAUGUUGAUGUACUAAGCCCUACGGACUUCAGUGGAUGCUUUAAAGCUGCUCUGCCCAUACUAUCAAUGUUUGCUGCUGGAUUAGAGCUCACUCCCCAUCCUGUUAAUUCUUACUGAUUGAUAGCUGUACAGGCUGGCUCCCCCCCUUUGUGGACAAUUUGCAGUUUGCAAUAAACCCUGUUUAACUUGA